UGGAGUAUAGAUCAGUGGUAGAGCGCAUGCUUAGCAUGCAUGAGGUCCUGGGUUCAAUCCCUAGUGCCUGAA
This 72-nucleotide transfer RNA is filed under the name Camelus dromedarius (Arabian camel). It matches the Rfam family "tRNA". From Rfam's summary of the family: Transfer RNA (tRNA) molecules are approximately 80 nucleotides in length. Their secondary structure includes four short double-helical elements and three loops (D, anti-codon, and T loops). RNAcentral also lists the same sequence under 1 other name. The record is from Rfam by way of RNAcentral. Lineage: Eukaryota; Metazoa; Chordata; Mammalia; Artiodactyla; Camelidae.